UAGAGUUUGAUCAUGGCUCAGAACGAACGCUGGCGGCAGGCCUAACACAUGCAAGUCGAACGCCCCGCAAGGGGAGUGGCAGACGGGUGAGUAACGCGUGGGAACAUACCCUYCGGUUCGGAAUAGCUCAGGGAAACUUGAAUUAAUACCGGAUACGUCCGCGAGGAGAAAGAUUUAUCGCCGAAGGAUUGGCCCGCGUCUGAUUAGCUAGUUGGUGAGGUAACGGCUCACCAAGGCGACGAUCGGUAGCUGGUCUGAGAGGAUGACCAGCCUCACUGGGACUGAGACACGGCCCAGACUCCUACGGGAGGCAGCAGUGGGGAAUAUUGGACAAUGGGCGCMAGCCUGAUCCMRCCAUGCCGCGYGWGRKKRRKRARGSCYUWRGGKUKKUAAAGCUCUUUUAGCAGGGAAGAUAAUGACGGUACCUGCAGAAAAAGCCCCGGCUAACUUCGUGCCAGCCGCCGCGGUAAUAC
Molecule: ribosomal RNA, 473 nt
Filed under: uncultured Methylocella sp.
Lineage: Bacteria; Pseudomonadati; Pseudomonadota; Alphaproteobacteria; Hyphomicrobiales; Beijerinckiaceae
Description: partial 16S ribosomal RNA
Rfam family: Bacterial small subunit ribosomal RNA
Source: RNAcentral